UUAGCAUGCGCGGUUAGCUGC
This 21-nucleotide unclassified non-coding RNA is filed under the name Chlamydomonas reinhardtii. RNAcentral's name for it is "small RNA Cre_3746". Lineage: Eukaryota; Viridiplantae; Chlorophyta; Chlorophyceae; Chlamydomonadales; Chlamydomonadaceae. The record is from RNAcentral.